GAUGAACGCUGGCGGCGUGCUUAACACAUGCAAGUCGAACGAGAAGUGGAGACGGAAACCUUCGGGCGGAAGACUUUACUUCGAGUGGCGGACGGGUGAGUAACGCGUGGGUAACCUGCCUCAUACAGGGGGAUAACAGUUGGAAACGACUGUUAAUACCGCAUAAGACCACAGCACCGCAUGGUGCGGGGGUAAAAACUCCGGUGGUAUGAGAUGGACCCGCGUUCGAUUAGCCAGUUGGCGGGGUAACGGCCCACCAAAGCGACGAUCGAUAGCCGAUCUGAGAGGAUGACCGGCCACAUUGGGACUGAGACACGGCCCAAACUCCUACGGGAAGCAGCAGUGGGGAAUAUUGCACAAUGGGGGAAACCCUGAUGCAGCGACGCCGCGUGAGUGAAGAAGUAUUUCGGUAUGUAAAGCUCUAUCAGCAGGGAAGAAAAUGACAGUACCUGAGUAAGAAGCCCCGGCUAACUACGUG
This 478-nucleotide ribosomal RNA is filed under the name uncultured bacterium. Its description in RNAcentral is "partial 16S ribosomal RNA". It matches the Rfam family "Bacterial small subunit ribosomal RNA", at positions 28 to 507 of the family's 1533-position model. The record is from RNAcentral.